This 608-nucleotide ribosomal RNA is filed under the name Mrakia blollopis. Its description in RNAcentral is "eukaryotic LSU rRNA". It matches the Rfam family "Eukaryotic large subunit ribosomal RNA", at positions 59 to 650 of the family's 3401-position model. The record is from RNAcentral. Lineage: Eukaryota; Fungi; Basidiomycota; Tremellomycetes; Cystofilobasidiales; Mrakiaceae.
AAGAAACUAACAAGGAUUCCCCUAGUAACGGCGAGUGAAGCGGGAUGAGCUCAAAUUUAAAAUCUGGCGGCCUCAGGUCGUCCGAGUUGUAGUCUAGAGAAUCGUUUUCCGCGUUGGCCUGUGUACAAGUCCCUUGGAACAGGGCGUCAUAGAGGGUGAGAAUCCCGUCCUUGACACAGAUUACCAAUGCUUUGUGAUGCGAUCUCGAAGAGUCGAGUUGUUUGGGAAUGCAGCUCAAAAUGGGUGGUAAAUUCCAUCUAAAGCUAAAUAUUGGCGAGAGACCGAUAGCGAACAAGUACCGUGAGGGAAAGAUGAAAAGCACUUUGGAAAGAGAGUUAAACAGUACGUGAAAUUGUUAAAAGGGAAACGAUUGAAGUCAGUCAUGCUUUCCGAGACUCAGCCGAUUCUGUCGGUGUACUUCUCGGUUGGCAGGCCAGCAUCAGUUUCGAUCUGUGGAAAAGGUUGGAGGGAACGUGGCAUCUUCGGAUGUGUUAUAGCCCUUCUUCGAAUACAUAGAGCGGGACUGAGGAACGCAGCGCGCCUUUUAUUAGGUUGGCCCUCGGGUACAUACGCGCUUAGGAUGCUGGCAUAAUGGCUUUAAACGACCC